ACUUUAAUUGAAGAGUUUGAUCAUGGCUCAGAUUGAACGCUGGCGGCAGGCCUAACACAUGCAAGUCGAGCGGUAACAGAUUGAUAGCUUGCUAUCAAUGCUGACGAGCGGCGGACGGGUGAGUAAUGCCUGGGAAUAUACCUGAUGUGGGGGAUAACUAUUGGAAACGAUAGCUAAUACCGCAUAAUCUCUUCGGAGCAAAGAGGGGGACCUUCGGGCCUCUCG
Molecule: ribosomal RNA, 225 nt
Filed under: Photobacterium aquimaris
Lineage: Bacteria; Pseudomonadati; Pseudomonadota; Gammaproteobacteria; Vibrionales; Vibrionaceae
Description: partial 16S ribosomal RNA
Rfam family: Bacterial small subunit ribosomal RNA
Source: RNAcentral